RNAcentral lists this ribosomal RNA (404 nucleotides) under Actinomycetes bacterium. Its description in RNAcentral is "Actinobacteria bacterium partial 16S ribosomal RNA". It matches the Rfam family "Bacterial small subunit ribosomal RNA", at positions 355 to 776 of the family's 1533-position model. The record is from RNAcentral. Lineage: Bacteria; Bacillati; Actinomycetota; Actinomycetes.
UGGGGAAUAUUGGACAAUGGGCGCAAGCCUGAUCCAGCCAUGCCGCGUGAGUGAUGAAGGCCCUAGGGUUGUAAAGCUCUUUCACCGGUGAAGAUAAUGACGGUAACCGGAGAAGAAGCUCCGGCUAACUUCGUGCCAGCAGCCGCGGUAAUACGAAGGGGGCUAGCGUUGUUCGGAUUUACUUGGCGUAAAGCGCACGUAGGCGGACUAUUAAGUCAGGGGUGAAAUCCCGGGGCUCAACCCCGGAACUGCCUUUGAUACUGGUAGUCUUGAGUUCGAGAGAGGUGGGUGGAAUUCCGAGUGUAGAGGUGAAAUUCGUAGAUAUUCGGAGGAACACCAGUGGCGAAGGCGGCUCACUGGCUCGAUACUGACGCUGAGGUGCGAAAGCGUGGGGAGCAAACAGG